UACGGGGGGGGCAAGCGUUGUUCGGAAUUACUGGGCGUAAAGGGCUCGUAGGCGGCCAACUAAGUCAGACGUGAAAUCCCUCGGCUUAACCGGGGAACUGCGUCUGAUACUGGAUGGCUAGAGGUUGGGAGAGGGACGCGGAAUUCCAGGUGUAGCGGUGAAAUGCGUAGAUAUCUGGAGGAACACCGGUGGCGAAGGCGGCAUCCUGGACCAAUUCUGACGCUGAGGAGCGAAAGCCAGGGGAGCAAACGGG
RNAcentral lists this ribosomal RNA (253 nucleotides) under uncultured bacterium. RNAcentral describes it as "partial 16S ribosomal RNA". It matches the Rfam family "Bacterial small subunit ribosomal RNA", at positions 524 to 776 of the family's 1533-position model. The record is from RNAcentral.